RNAcentral lists this ribosomal RNA (468 nucleotides) under uncultured bacterium. Its description in RNAcentral is "partial 16S ribosomal RNA". It matches the Rfam family "Bacterial small subunit ribosomal RNA", at positions 28 to 507 of the family's 1533-position model. The record is from RNAcentral.
GACGAACGCUGGCGGCGUGCUUAACACAUGCAAGUCGAACGGAAAGGCCCUGCUUUUGUGGGGUGCUCGAGUGGCGAACGGGUGAGUAACACGUGAGUAACCUGCUCUUGACUUUGGGAUAACUUCAGGAAACUGGGGCUAAUCCCGGAUAGGAGCUCCUGUUGCAUGGUGGGGGUUGGAAAGUUUCGGCGGUUGGGGAUGGACUCGCGGCUUAUCAGCUUGUUGGUGGGGUAGUGGCUUACCAAGGCUUUGACGGGUAGCCGGCCUGGGAGGGUGACCGGCCACAUUGGGACUGAGAGACGGCCCAGACUCCUACGGGAGGCAGAAGUGGGGAAUAUUGCACAAUGGGCGGAAGCCUGAUGCAGCAACGCCGCGUGCGGGAUGACGGCCUUCGGGUUGUAAACCGCUUUCGCCUGUGACGAAGCGUGAGUGACGGUAAUGGGUAAAGAAGCACCGGCUAACUACGUG